This 77-nucleotide transfer RNA is filed under the name Hymenobacter sp. RNAcentral's name for it is "tRNA-Thr". It matches the Rfam family "tRNA". Rfam says of the family: Transfer RNA (tRNA) molecules are approximately 80 nucleotides in length. The record is from RNAcentral. Lineage: Bacteria; Pseudomonadati; Bacteroidota; Cytophagia; Cytophagales; Hymenobacteraceae.
GCUCCCGUAGUUUUAAUGGUUCAGAAUGAGUCCUUGGUACGGAUUAGGAAAGGGUUCGAUUCCCUUCGAGAGCACCA